This is a non-coding RNA of Pelobates cultripes (western spadefoot toad), 551 nucleotides long. Lineage: Eukaryota; Metazoa; Chordata; Amphibia; Anura; Pelobatidae. The record is from the annotation of a GenBank genome assembly.
UGCUCACACACUGACACACAGCCUGCUCACACACUGACACACAGCCCACACACAGCCCACACACACACUAACACAUCCUGCACACACUAACACACUUCCUAAACACACACUGAAACACAGCUUGCUCACACACUGACACACAGCCCACACACACACUAACACAUCCUGCACACACUAACACACUGCCUGAACACACACUAACACACAGCCUGCUCACACACUGACACACAGCCCACACACACUGACAUACAGCCUGCACACACUGACACACAGCCUGCACACACACUGACACAUAGCCUGCUCACACACUGACACACAGCGAACUUGUGAAGAAAAUAGCAAUGCUAUUCGGGACUUUUUAUGCCAUUCGGGACUUUUUAUGUUUUGUUGGUUCGGUAGCUGUAACUACCGAACACCGACCAACCCUCCUGGCUCAUUAUCUUCAAAGGAAACAGUUGAUUAAGCGCUCUCUCUGUAUGGCCGCCAUUCGUAUAACCGAACGCCACGUGCAAGAGAAAAUGGCGGCCAUCUUGUUCGCACAAAAGGAGGCA